AGGGAGGCAGCGAAUGAAUUGCACAUCGAGCGGGGAAGUGGCACUGCCUGUGGAGAUCUGCGGAUGCCGACCGGAUGCGUUGGCUGCCGUGCCUGCUGCUGUGCACUGGGUUAGAAAUGACAACUAAUGCCAAACAUGAAUGAUCCAAGUCGCAGUAGUACUAGCCCAAGUAUCAUCAAUGAAGAUGUGAUUAUUAAUGGUCAUUCUCAUGAAGAUGACAAUCCAUUUGCAGAGUGCAUGUGGAUGGAAAAUGAAGAGGAGUUCAACAGACAAAUAGAAGAGGAGUUAUGGGAAGAAGUAUUUAUUGAACGCUGUUUCCAAGAAAUUCUGGAAGAAGAAGAAGAGCAUGAGUGGUUUAUUCCAGCUCGAUAUCUCCCACAAACUAUGGACCAAAUCCAAGACCAAUUUAAUGACCUUGUUAUCAGUGAUGGCUCUUCUCUGGAAAAUCUUGUGAUCAAGAGCAAUCUGAAUCCAAAUUCAAAGGAGUUUGUUCCUGGGGUGAAGUACUAAAUAUUUCAGUAACGGGGUCCUCUUUUGGUGGAUGUAGCACAAUUUCCACACUGUGAAGGCAGUAUUAGAAGACUGAAUUGUAAAAGCUCUCUUAUCACUGUGUUACACUUAUGCAUUGUCAAACUUUUUGUUAGUCUUGCAUGCUUAAUAAAAGUGCUGAGACUGUUACGAAGUUAAAAGCUGUCAAACAUUUACUGAAAACAGAAAUGGUCCCAUGGCUUGAUGUGAAGACAGCGAGGAAAGAAGCACCAGUCAAGUUGUGUAUAAGCACCAAAUUAAAAGACUUCUAAAUCUUACUAAAUUGUCGUCUUUGCGGUUAAACUGGUCCCCUAGGGUUAAAUAACACUUGUAGAUGUCUAAACUUUUUAAAAUCAGUAAAUUUAAGCUGUUUUGUUAAGCAGAUUGCUCAGUUCACACUUAAAUUUGCAUUUGUCCCCAUCAGAAAGAAUCUGCUAUUUCUGAAGAAGGUCUGUUAAUAUGAGAU
RNA transcript from Carlito syrichta (Philippine tarsier), 994 nucleotides. It is a transcript of the gene named polyadenylate-binding protein-interacting protein 2 pseudogene, with no coding region annotated. NCBI's taxonomy places the organism in Eukaryota, Metazoa, Chordata, Mammalia, Primates, Tarsiidae. The transcript has a single exon. The record is from RefSeq and is a predicted model, not a curated record.